UCAAAUCUGGCAGAGUUCAUCGCCUUUCUCCACGUUUGUCUUUCGAUGCCUCCAUAGCAAGUAGGUAUAGUUUGUCACUCUUUACUUUGGUCUCCCAUAAGCGUUCUAUGAGUCGAAAUCGUUCGGUGUUAUCACGCUGAUGCUAGCAUCAAAAAACUGUUGCGUAAAUUAAUGUGCUCCAUGGCCCUGUUGGUGUAUUCGUGUGUCCUAUUUAGCUCUGCCUUAUGAUCCCGCUACGAUGAGACAGUCGUUCGUUUCCUAGAAGCGGUUGUCCAACCUCUAUCGUACAGCCAAAGAAAAUCAACCCUGCUAUGUCUUCUGAAGGCGACGGUGAUGGUGAUACCGGAACAACCGCGCUCGUAACGAAAGGAAUUACGUCUGGCGAAUCGUCAAUGUCUCGUGAUAGUUUUUGUAUAGCCCUUGAUUAUUGUGACUGGUCAGCCUGCCAGUCAUCUACGAGUGCCAUUACUUGUCUGUGUCUUUUAAAUUGUUUGACUGGAGAAUAUUUGGCGAAAUCUCCAAUGCGCUGAUGGAAAUACAAUGGCAAGCUGGCGAAAGCUCGAAGAGGAUUAAUUCAGUGCUGCAGUAACAACUCAUACUGGCAUUUUCUUGCAGCUAAGGUUCCGACGAAGAUAGACAGAAUGGCUGAAGGCACAAGUUGAACGAGUAUAGUAUAUAGGUUGACCGUGUUUGCCUCACGUUCAA
This is a long non-coding RNA of Varroa destructor (honeybee mite), 705 nucleotides long. The record is from RefSeq and is a predicted model, not a curated record. NCBI's taxonomy places the organism in Eukaryota, Metazoa, Arthropoda, Arachnida, Mesostigmata, Varroidae.